Molecule: ribosomal RNA, 372 nt
Filed under: uncultured eukaryote
Lineage: Eukaryota
Description: partial 18S ribosomal RNA
Rfam family: Eukaryotic small subunit ribosomal RNA
Source: RNAcentral
CAAUAGCGUAUAUUAAAGUUGUUGCAGUUAAAAAGCUCGUAGUUGAAUUUUUGCUUGCCGCCGAUGUCGGAACUUCCGUACGUUCGGCGGCGUGCAUCCUUGGGUGGAACCUGUGUGGCAUUAGGUUGUCGUGCAGGGGAUGCUCAUCGUUUACUGUGAAAAAAUUAGAGUGUUCAAAGCAGGCUUACGCCGUUGAAUAUAUUAGCAUGGAAUAAUAAGAUAGGACCUUGGUACUAUUUUGUUGGUUUGCGCACCGAGGUAAUGAUUAACAGGGACAGUUGGGGGUAUCCGUAUUCCAUUGUCAGAGGUGAAAUUCUUGGAUUUCUGGAAGACGAACUACUGCGAAAGCAUUUACCAAGGAUGUUUUCAUUA